AAUCGAUUUUCCAGAUGUCCCAAACAGUCAGACAAGAGCUUCAUCAGAGAAAAUUACUUUGCACUAGUCUUCUGCUGUCAAAUCCUUGUACUACUUGCAGAGUUUAUUCUGUCCUUGAUGUUUUUCUCAGGGAGAAGUGGCUUCUUUGCUGCCCUUCUUGACACCAGGCUGUUGUCCAAAAGUCUUGGCCACACAGUGCAUGCAGAUGCCCUCACACCAACCUGCUGCCAUUCCUGAGCAAGUUCUGCACAGCUGGUGACACAGUUCUGAAGUUGACUCAUCAGGAGGAGAUGAUCCUGACACUUGCUGGACACUCUGGGACGUCCUGAAGACUUCUUCACUGCAGUAAAUCCUCUCUCCUUGAAGUUGUUGACGAUCUGAUAAAUGGUUCUUUCAGGUCCAAUGUCUGUAGGUCUCACACCACUGGACUUUUUCUGUGUUUCUGUGGGCCACACCAGACUGCUCCUGGUCCUUGCUGCUUUAACCAGCUACCCGGACGACAUACUCUGUGCAUUCUACUAUGCCAGUUUAAACAUCGCCGCCUUUGUGGAGUGGACACUGGCGUUCCACUCCCAAUCCAGUGCCCAGUCCACCAUCUCCCUGAUGUGCGGAGAGCUUGCAUGAGCCCACAGCUGUCAGAGAGCCUCAGCCCACCAUGACCGACGAGCUAUUACCGCAUGGAGCAACAGUGCGGAGGAUCACUGCGGAGCCAGUGAUGCUAGUGACGUCAGUCAAGGUGUAAGAUCCGGCAACAGAGCCUGCCAUGAGGGAGAAUGCAGAUAAUAAAGAGAGCACGGAGUGGAGCUCUGCCCACUGUACCAUGGCUGAGGGUGAGUUUAUAAUACAGCUGGGAUUGUUGGACUUAUAGAUUUGGAAACAGAGCUGGAACCCGACUUGCCCCCUCCAUUCUCUCCUUUGUCCCAGUUGGUCCAGUCCAGCCCUGAGUGGGCUUCUGUUUCCCAGUUCGGCCCAAAGAGGGUUCCAUUCCCCAAGUUUAGCCCAGAGAAAGUUCCUGUUCCCACAUACAGCCUGAGGGGGGCUCCUGUUCAUGAGUUCGGCCCUGAAAGCCCAGAGGCUCAUAAAUGUCUGCCCUCCCACCCACUCCUGCCUCUUCCUGCACUGUCAUCUGGCAGCUUCUCUGCUUGCCCUCAGUCCACCAUUAGCACGAUGCAAGCUCUGCGGGACUGCCAUCCUCCAUAGUUGCUGUGGCUGAAGUUUUCCUUCACUCCUCCUUUAGCCUUUAAGCCCCAGACUCCAGCUGGGUCAGUGAACCUGUCGGCUCCACCAUAGCUCCAAGCUCCCUCCUCUCCGCCAUGGCCGGCAGUCCACUAGCUCCAUCGGGCUCCCUCAUUCCUCCAGCUCCACCUUGGUCUGCCGUUGACCAUCCUGCACCUUGGGGCUUAACUUGUCCGGCUGCAUCUCGUCCCUUUGUCCCUCCAGCUCCUCCUCAGUCACUGUCACUCUGGCUCCAUCGUGGCCUUUUGGAUUCAUGCCUCGCAUCAGUCACCAGUGCCAUCUGCUCCGCCUUGGCCCUCCAGAUCUUCCAUGUUGCCAUGGCUCAUUGACUCUCCUGCCACUUGCUCUGCCACAGUUGGCCACCCCCCUGGAGUUGUCGGCCCUUCCUCCUCCAUGGCUCAUCCCUCCGUCGGUUCCACUGUGGGUUACUGUCAUGGCUGUGGCCUGGGUCUCACCUGGCUCCUCCUGUUCCAAGCCACUCUUGUUUCCUCCUUGGCUGCUUCCUGGACCCUGGACUCCGUUCAUCAUACUCCUCCCGGGAGUAUGCCUGACCUAGUUUUCCCAUGUUAAUUGUUUCAUUUGAUUCCAGGUGUGUCUUGUUGUUCCCCAAAUAACUUUGAGUCUGUUCAGUCUGUGGUUGUCAGGUCUACUAUGUUGUGUUCAUGUGUCAUUCCUCGUUACUAGUUCCUGACUUGGAUUUAACCCUGUGUCUUGGAUCUAAUAAAGAUUAUUUUGUGUA
Long non-coding RNA from Carassius auratus (goldfish), 1975 nucleotides. RefSeq lists it as uncharacterized. Lineage: Eukaryota; Metazoa; Chordata; Actinopteri; Cypriniformes; Cyprinidae. The record is from RefSeq and is a predicted model, not a curated record. The transcript is spliced from 2 exons.